AAGCAUGGAAAGUAGUUACAAUGUAGCUGUAAAGUGCUGCCUUGUCUUUGCCCCCUGCUCAAAAUAAAGCUGUUACCUUUCUAGCCCUGUCCGCCAUGGUGCUUAGCAGCCAGGGAUGCAUGGUCUCAGACAU
Leptonychotes weddellii (Weddell seal) is the source of this 133-nucleotide non-coding RNA. The record is from RefSeq and is a predicted model, not a curated record. Lineage: Eukaryota; Metazoa; Chordata; Mammalia; Carnivora; Phocidae.